RNAcentral lists this long non-coding RNA (251 nucleotides) under Musa acuminata (dwarf banana). RNAcentral describes it as "long non-coding RNA (MACU_LNC005308)". Lineage: Eukaryota; Viridiplantae; Streptophyta; Magnoliopsida; Zingiberales; Musaceae. The record is from RNAcentral.
UUGGAAGAUAAAGGUAAUUAUGCAUCGUAAAUUAAUUUACAGAUCUAAUGCAUGAUUUCAAAAACCGGGCUCUAAUACCAAUUGUAAGCAUAAAAAUCUGUAAUUAUGCUAAGUCAAUAAUGCGGAAUUAACCUAAAUGCCAGGAUUGAAAUCAAUACAUAGAUCUAAUUAUACGAUGCGUACCUUUUGAUGCCAUCCGUUUAGAGAUCUUGUUUGAUCUGCUCAGCACCGUGAUCCAAGAUUGCUGCAGG